This 2109-nucleotide ribosomal RNA is filed under the name Triticum aestivum (bread wheat). Its description in RNAcentral is "partial small subunit ribosomal RNA". The record is from RNAcentral. Lineage: Eukaryota; Viridiplantae; Streptophyta; Magnoliopsida; Poales; Poaceae.
AUGAACGCGGGCGGGCGCCGGCGCUACACCUCGGAGCAGCUCCUCUUCGACGUCCCCACCAAUGCCGCGACGGCUGGCGGUGCCGGCAGGUGGACCCAGCGCGGCGGGCUGCGCCGUGGGGACGGGGAGAUCUUCGUGUCGGUGGACCCGGCGACGCCGGCACGGCUGCGCGGAGGGGACGCGGCGGCUGGGGAGUCUCCGGGGCAGAGGCACCAGCUCAGCCCCGGGCUGCUCGACCUCCAUGCCUUUGAUACCGAGCUUAUCCCCGAUUUUCAAGUACAAGGAAUGUAUGAUGGUGCUGAAAAGUUUGGUUAUACCAAUGGAGAAGGCUUUGAAGAUUCGGAUAUGAGCUUUGGUACAGACAAGCAGAUGAGCAAGUCCGCUGUUUUUGCUGAAAGUAACUACCUCAAGGCCUUCCCUGAGAAAGAGAAGGCAGCCCCUGUUGCCAAAAUCAAAGUGGUGGUGCGCAAAAGACCUCUGAACAAGAAGGAGAUAUCAAAGAAAGAAGAAGAUAUCAUAGACAUUGAACAAAAUUCUUUGACUGUCCAUGAGACUAAACUUAAGGUUGACCUCACUGAGUAUGUCGAAAAGCAUGGAUUUGUGUUCGAUGCUGUUUUGGAUGAGGACGUUUCAAAUGAUGAGGUUUAUCGUGAAACAGUGGAACCGGUGGUUCCUGCUAUUUUCAAUCGUACAAAGGCAACUUGUUUUGCAUACGGACAAACCGGUAGUGGAAAAACCUACACCAUGAGACCACUUCCUCUAAAGGCCUCCCAGGACAUUUUGAGACUAAUGCACCAUACAUAUCGGAAUCAGGGGUUUCAGUUAUUUUUUAGUUUCUUUGAGAUCUACGGAGGGAAAUUGUAUGAUCUGCUUAAUGAAAGGAGUAAACUUUGCAUGAGAGAAGAUGGAAAACAGAAAGUUUGCAUUGUUGGUUUACAAGAGUACAGGGUGUCUGAUCUUGAAACUAUCAAGGAGUUGAUUGAGAGAGGUAAUGCCACCAGAAGUACUGGUACAACUGGUGCAAACGAGGAGUCGUCACGAUCUCAUGCCAUUCUUCAGCUUGCCAUCAAACGGCGUGUUGAUGGCAAUGAGUCUAAGCCACCCAGAUUGGCCGGCAAGUUGUCGUUUAUUGACCUGGCUGGCAGUGAGCGUGGUGCUGAUACAAAUGAAAAUGAUAAACAAACAAGAAUUGAGGGUGCUGAGAUCAAUAAAAGUUUGCUUGCUUUAAAGGAAUGCAUCAGAGCACUUGAUAAUGAUCAGAAUCAUAUUCCCUUCCGUGGUAGCAAGCUGACUGAAGUUUUGCGAGAUUCAUUCAUUGGAGACUCGCGCACUGUCAUGAUAUCAUGCAUUUCCCCUAGUUCUGGCUCUUGUGAACAUACACUGAACACAUUGAGAUAUGCUGAUAGAGUGAAGAGUCUGUCAAAAGGAAGCAACAGCAAGAAAGAUGUGCCUUUGGCCGCUGCACCUUUACGAGAAUCGAGUCCUUCCCCAUUGGCUUCGGUUGUACCCUCUUUCUCUGCAGCUGAGGUAAUGAAUGAUAUCACUGAAAGGAGUAAGUUUGGUUGGCCCAAGCAGCAGUAUGCCAAAGAACAGCCAUCACCAUCGUUUGUGGAUAGAAUACCCAAGGGCAGGGAAGAUACUGAGUUCAGUUCGGCGAAUAGUGGUUAUUUCAAUGAACAAAGAAGCAGAGUUACUGCAGCAACAGGCAUAGCCGUGGUACCAGAUACAAUGUACCAGCAGGGAAGGCAACAGGCACGGAAGGGUAGAGAUCCAGGUUCGGAGAAUAAUAUGAGAAAUUCUGUUGCUUACCCAAUUAGAAGGGCUGUGCCAGACGAAAAUGACCAUCUGAAUGACCUCCUUCAGGAAGAGGAAGAUUUAGUGAGUGCUCACAGAAAGCAGGUGGAAGAGACCCUGGACAUGAUUAAAGAGGAGAUGAACUUGCUAGUUGAAGCAGAUCAGCCUGGCAACCAACUAGACGACUACGUUACAAGACUAAGCGGCAUCCUCUCACAGAAAGCUGCUGGAAUUGUGGAUUUACAAGAUCGUCUGGCACAGUUCCAGAGGCGCUUAAACGAGAAUAGCGUGCUGCUAUAUUCCGAGUGCCCUUGA